RNAcentral lists this ribosomal RNA (391 nucleotides) under Synura mollispina. Its description in RNAcentral is "partial small subunit ribosomal RNA". It matches the Rfam family "Eukaryotic small subunit ribosomal RNA", at positions 30 to 432 of the family's 1831-position model. The record is from RNAcentral. Lineage: Eukaryota; Synurophyceae; Synurales; Mallomonadaceae.
GCUUGUCUCAAAGAUUAAGCCAUGCAUGUCUAAGUAUAAAUGUUAUACAGUGAAACUGCGAAUGGCUCAUUAAAACAGUUAUAGUUUAUUUGAUAAUCGAAUUUACAUGGAUAACCGUAGUAAUUCUAGAGCUAAUACAUGCAUCAAACCCCGACUUCUGGAAGGGGUGUAUUUAUUAGAUGGAAACCAAUGCGGGGCAACCCGGAUUCUGGUGAUUCAUAAUAACUUUCGGAUCGAUCCUCGGAUCGAUGCAUCAUUCAAGUUUCUGCCCUAUCAGCUUUGGAUGGUAGGGUAUUGGCCUACCAUGGCUUUAACGGGUAACGGAGAAUUAGGGUUCGAUUCCGGAGAGGGAGCCUGAGAAAUGGCUACCACAUCCAAGGAAGGCAGCAGG